CCAAAAAACGGACUUUGGACCCUAAAAAAUUCAACUUUUGGGACCGAAAAAUUCAGAUUUUGGGGCAGAAAAAUCAACUUUGAAGACCCCAAAAAAAUGGACUUUGAGACCCUAAAAAAACCUGGAAAAAUGGAAUUUGAACCC
Molecule: non-coding RNA, 144 nt
Organism: Sturnus vulgaris (Common starling)
Lineage: Eukaryota; Metazoa; Chordata; Aves; Passeriformes; Sturnidae
Source: RefSeq, a predicted model, not a curated record